Molecule: ribosomal RNA, 514 nt
Filed under: uncultured Ascomycota
Lineage: Eukaryota; Fungi; Ascomycota
Description: eukaryotic LSU rRNA
Rfam family: 5.8S ribosomal RNA (bases 156-309)
Source: RNAcentral
CAUUACUGAGUUAUCUAACUCCCAAACCAUUGUGAACUUACCACUGUUGCCUCGGCGGCGACCUCCUUCUGUUUGUUCAGUUGGGGAAAACCGCCGGUGGACUACUAAACUCUUGUUAAUUUUUGUCAAUCUGAAUAAAAAACUUAAUAAGUUAAAACUUUCAACAACGGAUCUCUUGGUUCUGGCAUCGAUGAAGAACGCAGCGAAAUGCGAUAAGUAAUGUGAAUUGCAGAAUUCAGUGAAUCAUCGAAUCUUUGAACGCACAUUGCGCCCAUUAGUAUUCUAGUGGGCAUGCCUGUUCGAGCGUCAUUUCAACCCUUAAGCUUAGCUUAGUAUUGGGAAUCUGCUUAACCGCAGCUCCUUAAAUCUAGUUGGCAGAGCACAGCUGUACUCUGAGCGUAGUAAUUCAUUAUCUCGCUUUUUGAAGACAGUCGUACGAUAGCCACAAACUUUGCAUCUUGCAAACUUUUUAAUGGUUGACCUCGGAUCAGGUAGGAAUACCCGCUGAACUUAA